This 231-nucleotide ribosomal RNA is filed under the name uncultured Staphylococcus sp. RNAcentral's name for it is "partial 16S ribosomal RNA". It matches the Rfam family "Bacterial small subunit ribosomal RNA", at positions 109 to 334 of the family's 1533-position model. Lineage: Bacteria; Bacillati; Bacillota; Bacilli; Caryophanales; Staphylococcaceae. The record is from RNAcentral.
AGUAACACGUGGAUAACCUACCUAUAAGACUGGGAUAACUUCGGGAAACCGGAGCUAAUACCGGAUAAUAUUUUGAACCGCAUGGUCCAAAAGUGAAAGACGGUCUUGCUGUCACUUAUAGAUGGAUCCGCGCUGCAUUAGCUAGUUGGUAAGGUAACGGCUUACCAAGGCAACGAUGCAUAGCAGACCUGAGAGGGUGAUCGGCCACACUGGAACUGAGACACGGUCCAG